RNAcentral lists this long non-coding RNA (2830 nucleotides) under Mus musculus (house mouse). Its description in RNAcentral is "long non-coding RNA chrX:44369568-44372398". The record is from RNAcentral. Lineage: Eukaryota; Metazoa; Chordata; Mammalia; Rodentia; Muridae.
UUUUUAAUAUCUCCCACUGAACUUCUUUGUAUGCGUACAUUCACCUCAAUCAUUUUCUCUGUACACAAUGCAGUAUCGUGGGAAAGAAAAGAUGUCAAAAUGGGAAUAUGAGGUAAUAUUAUUGAAGAAUAAGUGGUCAGAAAUCCCUUCAUCUACUAAAGGAUUUUUCUGUUUUUAUAUAAACUUUAUAUAAAUAUAAGUUAGAAAACUAUGAUACAUUGUAGAAUAGGUUUUUACUAUUGUGUAGAAUAAAAUGUACUGAAAUUUUGGGGUUGUAGCUAUCAGUCUGUAUGUAAGCAUACUGGAUAUGUAAAAAAAAAAAAGAGAGAGAGAUGUAUGGUCAUUUCUGAUAACAUUUAUUGAAAUUUAGGUAGCUGAUUUGUAUUAAACCAUUGAAUGGCCGAAUAAGUUUUGUCCUAAAAUGUUUAAAAUGAGUAAAGUAAAACUCAAAAAAGGUAAUAAUAACUCAUGGUCUCACAGUCCAUGCUGCAGCAGAUAUAAAUCUUGAUCUGACUUUAUUACCUACCUUUUAAAUGAUUUGUACCCUGUAUUAUUCAAGGAUUAUAAUUUUCGUUUCUUCAAAAUAUAACCUAUCUGUAUUGUGGAAACAUUAUCAUGCUUGCUUCUGAUAUUUAGAUAUAAUUUUUAAAGAUUUUAUCUAUGUAUUUUAUGUAUAUGAUGAGUGCACUGUAGCUGUCUUCAGACACCCCAGAAGAGGGCAUUGGAUUCCAUUACAGAUGGUUGUGAGCCAACAUGUGGUUACAGGAAUUUGAACUCAGGACCUAUUGGAAGAGCAGUCUGUGCUCUUAACCACUAAGCCAUCUCUCCAGCCUUAGGUAUAAUUUUUAGAAUCAAGAAAUGAAAAAAAAUAGUAAAUAUAAAUUAUAUGCAGCAGUGUCAAUUCUAUAUUUGAAGGCAACAUAUAGUCUUAAAUAUAUGUAUAUUUUAUUUACUAAUUUUUUAUUGUUAACAAUUGGAAAUAUAAUAUAGUGAAAUGUUUUCUGCUUAAGAAAAUACCAAUACAAUGUUCUGGUUUUAUGACUCUACUUUUCGUUAAUGUAACUGUGAUAGUUUGUAUUUAACAUCUAGAUUCCAUAUUUUAUGUGAAUAAAAGAGUUGUGUUAAUUUCAUCUAGGCUAUCAUACCCAAAGCACUUUCCAUUCACAUUAGUUAUUUGAAUUGUAAAAAUGUCAUAUAGAGUUUUCAUUUAAUACAGAUUAAGAUAUAAUGAUCAAUGAAUCUAUGCUUCCAAUAUAUUAUAUUAACACUGAAUUAUUAUUCAUAUACAUCUAUUUAUAAGUCUGCUUGUACAUACAGUUUAACAGACUUUGGGCAACAUUUAAACAUUCCAAAAGUUGUUAUCUCCAUUUGGCAUCAUAAAUAAUAUAUAAUAAUGUAAAUAUAUUGAAAGUGUUACUAUUUAUUCUUCGCUUACCUAAAAUAGUCUCAAGAUAAAGACAUUGACAAUUAAAAGAAAGGCAAAAUAAGAACAGAAAUAUUUAAGGAAGUUGAAGAAAUAAUCACAGAUAUUAACUUUACAUAAGAUUUCAUAGGAAAAUAUAUGUUGCUAGUCAUGAAUACAGACUUCAAAAGUGGACAUAAUUCUCAGGUACGUGUGUGUGCUUGUAAAUUGGAUUACAUAAUCAUGAUGUACUAAGUUUGUGUUAGAAGGUAUUUGUUGCAUCUGCACAUUUGAAAGACUAGCUCUUGAAUUAUCAUUAUCAACAAGUAUAAAUUAACCACAAUAAAAUGAAGUAUAAUCAAACUUCUGCAAACUAAAUUUUGGUAGUAAUAUAAGUAAAUUAAUCUUGGGCUAGUAAAUUAAAUAAAUUUGUCACUUAAUUUCUAUUAUAAAUAAUAUUAUUUUGUUCUUUGAUACUAUCUUAUCUCCCAAGAAAAGCAAUUAUUAUUCCAGAUUAUAGUUCUUUGGGAGGCUUCUAAAUUGCUUGGUACAGAAACUGUUAAAGAUUGUUCAUCUACAGUAGCUGAAGGGGUUUGCAACCCCAUAGAAAGAACAACAACAUCAAUCAACCAGACCCUGCAAAGCUCCCAGGGACUAAACACUAAUCAAGGUACACAUUGGGGUCCCAUGGCUCCAGCCUGAUAUGUAGCAGACGAUUGCCUUAUCAGGGAGACUCCCUUAGUCCUGUGGAGACUUUAUGACACAGGGUAGUGUAGUGUGGGCACCAUCACAGAAGCAGAGGGAGGGGAGAGGGGGAAGAGAUGGGGGUUUGCUGAGGGUAAACUGGGAAGGGGGUGACAUUUAAAAUGUAAAUAAAUAAAAUAACCAAUAAAAAUGAAAAAAGAAAUUAUUUCUCAUGCUGGGUUUCCCACUAUGAUCUACCAUAUGAUUGUUCAUACCAUAUAGUCAUAUUCUGUUGGAUAAAUGAAGAAAGCAAAGGUUAGGGGGAAUUUUCAUUCUAUGACCUCUAAUUGGUGUCAUUUCUCUUCAUCUUCCUAAGGAAAAGAAAUAUGUCAUAGUUUUAAUGUGGGCUUUUUGAUCCAGUGCUGGUUAUAUGUUUUGCAGGAGGCUCAACAAAGUAAGAGAGUGGGCUAGGGAACCAGAUAAGGUGGUUUUCAUUUUGGUUCCUUAUCUUGAUUAUCUUAAAUUAAGCUGGUUAUAAUAUUUUUCACCUAAUGUUUAUUUUGUGUUUAUUACCUCAUGCAUAAAAUGGUGAUAAUAUCAUCUGUAACAGUCAUUUGUAACAAAAUGUUCCUCCUUCUCUUUGUAUGAGCAUGGCUAUGUUUGUCUUUGUGAAAGACAUGGGUAAGCAGGAUAAUAAAAUAAUAAUUUAGAGAGUAUAGAUAUUAAUAAAAUUAUCUUUAAUAU